This 71-nucleotide transfer RNA is filed under the name Phrynosoma platyrhinos (Desert horned lizard). Its description in RNAcentral is "tRNA-OTHER". The record is from RNAcentral. Lineage: Eukaryota; Metazoa; Chordata; Lepidosauria; Squamata; Phrynosomatidae.
GGUUGAGAGCAGAGUGGUUUGAGCAUUGGACUAGGACUCUGGAGACCAGGGUUCGAUUCCCAGCUUGGCCA